GAGUUUGAUCUUGGCUCAGGACGAACGCUGGCGGCGCGCUUAACACAUGCAAGUCGAACGGGAUCCUUCGGGGUCCAGUGGCGAACGGGUGCGUAACACGUGAGUAACCUGCCCCUGUGCGGGGGAUAACCCGGGGAAACCCGGGCUAAUACCGCAUGAACUCUAGAUGGCUGCGGCUGACUGGAGGAAAGGUGCCGCAAGGCACCGCGCGGGGAGGGGCUCGCGGCGUAUCAGCUAGUUGGUGAGGUAACGGCUCACCAAGGCGACGACGCGUAGGGGGUCUGAGAGGAUGGCCCCCCACAUUGGGACUGAGAUACGGCCCAGACUCCUACGGGAGGCAGCAGUGGGGAAUCUUGCGCAAUGGCCGAAAGGCUGACGCAGCGACGCCGCGUGUGGGAGGAAGCUUUUUCGGAGUGUAAACCACUGUCGGGAGGGACGAAGGUCCAGGGGAGGCAAUGCCCUUGGGAUGACGGUACCUCCAGAGGAAGCGCCGGCUAACUCCGUGCCAGCCG
RNAcentral lists this ribosomal RNA (512 nucleotides) under uncultured Actinomycetes bacterium. RNAcentral describes it as "bacterial SSU rRNA". It matches the Rfam family "Bacterial small subunit ribosomal RNA", at positions 9 to 514 of the family's 1533-position model. The record is from RNAcentral. Lineage: Bacteria; Bacillati; Actinomycetota; Actinomycetes.